RNAcentral lists this ribosomal RNA (253 nucleotides) under uncultured bacterium. Its description in RNAcentral is "partial 16S ribosomal RNA". It matches the Rfam family "Bacterial small subunit ribosomal RNA", at positions 524 to 776 of the family's 1533-position model. The record is from RNAcentral.
UACGGAGGGGACUAGCGUUGUUCGGAAUUACUGGGCGUAAAGCGCGCGUAGGCGGAUUUGCAAGUCGGGGGUGAAAUCCCGAGGCUCAACCCUGGAACUGCCUUCGAUACUGCAAAUCUCGAGUCCGGAAGAGGUGAGUGGAAUUCCUAGUGUAGAGGUGAAAUUCGUAGAUAUUAGGAGGAACACCAGUGGCGAAGGCGGCUCGCUGGUCUGUUACUGACGCUGAGACGCGAAAGCGUGGGGAGCAAACAGG